GGAGUGGUAGCUCAGUGGUUAAGACGUUGAAAUUUUGAUUGAAAGGUUGUGAGUUCAAAUCCCAACACUGCCA
Molecule: non-coding RNA, 73 nt
Organism: Ameiurus melas (black bullhead)
Lineage: Eukaryota; Metazoa; Chordata; Actinopteri; Siluriformes; Ictaluridae
Source: the annotation of a GenBank genome assembly